RNAcentral lists this ribosomal RNA (460 nucleotides) under uncultured bacterium. RNAcentral describes it as "partial 16S ribosomal RNA". It matches the Rfam family "Bacterial small subunit ribosomal RNA", at positions 338 to 795 of the family's 1533-position model. The record is from RNAcentral.
CCUACGGGAGGCAGCAGUGAGGAAUAUUGGUCAAUGGACGAGAGUCUGAACCAGCCAAGUAGCGUGAAGGAUGACUGCCCUAUGGGUUGUAAACUUCUUUUAUAUGGGAAUAAAACGUUCCACGUGUGGGAUUUUGUAUGUACCAUAUGAAUAAGGAUCGGCUAACUCCGUGCCAGCAGCCGCGGUAAUACGGAGGAUCCGAGCGUUAUCCGGAUUUAUUGGGUUUAAAGGGAGCGUAGGUGGAUUGUUAAGUCAGUUGUGAAAGUUUGCGGCUCAACCGUAAAAUUGCAGUUGAAACUGGCAGUCUUGAGUACAGUAAAGGUGGGCGGAAUUCGUGGUGUAGCGGUGAAAUGCUUAGAUAUCACGAAGAACUCCGAUUGCGAAGGCAGUUCACUGGACUGCAACUGACACUGAGGCACGAAAGUGUGGGUAUCAAACAGGAUUAGAUACCCGAGUAGUC